UCCCACCGGCGUAGUUGGUUG
RNAcentral lists this non-coding RNA (21 nucleotides) under Caenorhabditis elegans. Lineage: Eukaryota; Metazoa; Nematoda; Chromadorea; Rhabditida; Rhabditidae. The record is from RNAcentral.